AUGUCAUCUCUUCUCUUCCGACUUGGGCGAUCCUUGUGGAAUUUCGUCAAGCAAAAAAUACUGCACCCAGCGACGAAGCCUCGUCGACGCAAUCUUCCCGUCCUUCGCGGCGACUUCAGGAGGCCGGCGCUCAACUGCCCCAGGUACAUCAUCUCCACGGUCUGCGAAUUCGCUCUCUUGAUCUGGCUGUUCGGGACGGCGUACUGCUACCUGACCUACGACCUGCCACGCGAGUUCUCCGUCCACUUGACGCCGAUCCCGAGCAACGCCAGCGCGGGGGCUCCGGCCGCGGCGACGUCCGUCCCCCGGGCCUUCGACGUCGUCCUGCACGCCGGCAACCGCCGCACCGCGGAGAGGUGCUACCACCACGGGGAGGGGGCGGUGACGUACGGCGGCUUCACCGUCGCGCCGGGCCGCGCGCCCGACUUCUGCGUGCCGUGGAAGGGGGCGCGCGAGGUGCCGUUCAGGCUGUCGUGGGACUGGAACGACGGCGUUGGUCUGCCGGAGAACCUGCGUGGCCGCAUCGCGGCGGCGGAGAAGGUCGGCGCCGUGGAGGUCGAGGUCCAGGUGCGGCUCCUCCGGGGAGGCGACGCCCGCUCCGGCACGGGCACGCCGACGUGGAUGUGGUGCAAGGCGGGGACGGGUGGAGCGCCUGGAGCCGUCACCCCCUGCACCGUGUUCGCUCCGCAGAACUGGUUUUCGCCCCUGGCCUAG
Molecule: ribosomal RNA, 714 nt
Filed under: Triticum aestivum (bread wheat)
Lineage: Eukaryota; Viridiplantae; Streptophyta; Magnoliopsida; Poales; Poaceae
Description: partial small subunit ribosomal RNA
Source: RNAcentral